Molecule: long non-coding RNA, 366 nt
Organism: Capra hircus (goat)
Lineage: Eukaryota; Metazoa; Chordata; Mammalia; Artiodactyla; Bovidae
Exons: 3
Source: RefSeq, a predicted model, not a curated record
CAGGGGUGUCACAGGAGCAGGCGGCCUGGACUGGCCUGGUGCUGUGGCUGGUGAGGCAGGCCCCCAUUCGUGUGCUCCUUCCACGUGGAACUCCAGCCGGUCAAGUCCUAGCCUGCCUGCAAGAGAAGACACACAUUCUCCUUCCUCCGUGGAGCCUCCUCUGACCCCUUCAUGCCUCCUCCCUGGGCCCCAAGCAUAGUAGGUGCUUGGUUGUUACUCUGAAGGGCAGCAACCUACCCAGGAGAGGCAGCAGCUGUUUCAACAUGUGCUCACUUUCCUCUUUCUAGAAGAUUAAUACUUGAGAUCAGCUAUUUCCUCUUCUCCACAGGUAAGUGACUAUUAAUAGAGGUCCUUUUAAGAUUCUUG